RNAcentral lists this ribosomal RNA (116 nucleotides) under Pteropus alecto (black flying fox). Lineage: Eukaryota; Metazoa; Chordata; Mammalia; Chiroptera; Pteropodidae. The record is from RNAcentral. RNAcentral also lists the same sequence under 1 other name.
GUCUAUGGCCAUGUCACUCUGAACAAGCCCAAUGUCUGAUCUCGGAAGCUAAGCAAGGUUGGGCCUGGUUAGUACUCGGAUGGAAGACCAACUAAGAAGACCAAGUGCUGUAGGCA